RNAcentral lists this ribosomal RNA (504 nucleotides) under uncultured bacterium. Its description in RNAcentral is "bacterial SSU rRNA". It matches the Rfam family "Bacterial small subunit ribosomal RNA", at positions 903 to 1397 of the family's 1533-position model. The record is from RNAcentral.
AAAUGAAUAGACGGGGGCCCGCACAAGCGGCGGAGCAUGCGGAUUAAUUCGAUGCAACGCGAAGAACCUUACCUGGGUUUGACAUACACCCUGCCGCUCCAGAGAUGGGGUUUCUUUUGGGGGUGUACAGGUGGUGCAUGGCUGUCGUCAGCUCGUGUCGUGAGAUGUUGGGUUAAGUCCCGCAACGAGCGCAACCCUUGUCGCAUGUUGCCAGCACGCUACCCUUCGGGGUGGUGGUGGGGACUCAUGCGAGACUGCCGGGGUCAACUCGGAGGAAGGUGGGGAUGACGUCAAGUCAUCAUGCCCCUUAUGUCCAGGGCUUCACGCAUGCUACAAUGGCCGGUACAGAGGGCUGCGAUCCCGUGAGGGGGAGCGAAUCCCAAAAAGCCGGUCUCAGUUCGGAUUGGGGUCUGCAACUCGACCCCAUGAAGUCGGAGUCGCUAGUAAUCGCAGAUCAGCAACGCUGCGGUGAAUACGUUCCCGGGCCUUGUACACACCGCCCGU